Molecule: ribosomal RNA, 716 nt
Filed under: Rhipidiinae sp. UPOL ZL0087
Lineage: Eukaryota; Metazoa; Arthropoda; Insecta; Coleoptera; Ripiphoridae
Description: eukaryotic LSU rRNA
Rfam family: Eukaryotic large subunit ribosomal RNA
Source: RNAcentral
GGAGUCUAUCAUGUGCGCAAGUAAUUUGGAAGUUUCACAUGAAACCUGAAUGCACAAUGAAAGUAAAGGAAACGGUAUCGUGGCAUGUGUGUGUGUGUGUAUCUCCUUUGGGACGGUGCACGCGCUGCCUUGUCAUCGUUCCGUUCUGAUGGAAGAUGAGCUUCUAUGCUCCGGCAUAUUAGCACCGCACUCCAGGGGCGUUUUAUUCUCAUUGCGAGACGAGGCGCACCAAGAGCGUACACGCUGGGACCCGAAAGAUGGUGAACUAUGCCUGGUCAGGAUGAAGUCAGGGGAAACCCUGAUGGAGGUCCGUAGCGAUUCUGACGUGCAAAUCGAUCGUCGGAACUAGGUAUAGGGGCGAAAGACUAAUCGAACCAUCUAGUAGCUGGUUCCCUCCGAAGUUUCCCUCAGGAUAGCUGGCGCUUGAUGAGUUUCAUCUGGUAAAGCGAAUGAUUAGAGGCAUUGGGGUCGAAACGACCUCGACCUAUUCUCAAACUUUAAAUGGGUGAGAUCUGCGGCUUGCUUAACUGAAGCCGUAGUUUCUAGUAUUUUUGUGUUGGAAUAAGAAUCUAAGUGCCAAGUGGGCCAUUUUUGGUAAGCAGAACUGGCGCUGUGGGAUGAACCAAACGUAGAGUUAAAGCGCCUAAAUCGACGCUUAUGGGAUACCAUGAAAGGCGUUGGUAACUUAAGACAUCAGGACGGUGACCAUGGAAGUC